GCUGUUUUAGUUUAGUUAAAAAUUUCAUUUUGUGAUGAUGAGGAUUCAUUUAUUGAAAAUGGCA
This 64-nucleotide transfer RNA is filed under the name Ugyops sp. APL-2018. RNAcentral describes it as "tRNA-His". The record is from RNAcentral. Lineage: Eukaryota; Metazoa; Arthropoda; Insecta; Hemiptera; Delphacidae.